RNAcentral lists this ribosomal RNA (253 nucleotides) under uncultured bacterium. Its description in RNAcentral is "partial 16S ribosomal RNA". It matches the Rfam family "Bacterial small subunit ribosomal RNA", at positions 524 to 776 of the family's 1533-position model. The record is from RNAcentral.
UACAGAGGGCGCGAACGUUGUUCGGAAUCACUGGGCUUAAAGGGCGCGUAGGCGGCUUGCAUAGUCGGGAGUGAAAUCUUUCGGCUUAACCGGAAAAGUGCUUUCGAUACUAGCAAGCUCGAGGGAGGUAGGGGCAGAUGGAACUUCCGGUGGAGCGGUGAAAUGUGUUGAUAUCGGAAGGAACGCCGGUGGCGAAAGCGAUCUGCUGGACCUCUUCUGACGCUGAGGCGCGAAAGCUAGGGGAGCAAACGGG